AAAGUGAAGGUGCGUCGACAGCAUGUGUGAGUCUCUUCUUCUUUUUCCCCCCCUCUCUUUUGUGGAGGGGUGUGGGAGGGACCUG
RNAcentral lists this ribosomal RNA (85 nucleotides) under Trypanosoma cruzi. RNAcentral describes it as "partial large subunit ribosomal RNA". Lineage: Eukaryota; Euglenozoa; Kinetoplastea; Trypanosomatida; Trypanosomatidae. The record is from RNAcentral.